Molecule: ribosomal RNA, 490 nt
Filed under: uncultured bacterium
Lineage: Bacteria
Description: partial 16S ribosomal RNA
Rfam family: Bacterial small subunit ribosomal RNA
Source: RNAcentral
AUUGAACGCUGGCGGCAUGCUUUACACAUGCAAGUCGGACGGCAGCACAGAGAAGCUUGCUUCUUGGGUGGCGAGUGGCGAACGGGUGAGUAAUAUAUCGGAACGUACCGAGUAAUGGGGGAUAACUAAUCGAAAGAUUAGCUAAUACCGCAUAUUCUCUGAGGAGGAAAGCAGGGGACCUUCGGGCCUUGCGUUAUUCGAGCGGCCGAUAUCUGAUUGGCUAGUUGGUGGGGUAAAGGCCUACCAAGGCGACGAUCAGUAGCGGGUCUGAGAGGAUGAUCCGCCACACUGGGACUGAGACACGGCCCAGACUCCUACGGGAGGCAGCAGUGGGGAAUUUUGGACAAUGGGCGCAAGCCUGAUCCAGCCAUGCCGCGUGUCUGAAGAAGGCCUUCGGGUUGUAAAGGACUUUUGUCAGGGAAGAAAAGGCUGUUGCUAAUAUCGACAGCUGAUGACGGUACCUGAAGAAUAAGCACCGGCUAACUACGUG